UACGUAGGUGGCGAGCGUUGUCCGGAUUUACUGGGCGUAAAGAGCGCGCAGGCGGCCUGAUCAGUCGAAUGUGAAAGCCCCCGGCUCAACUGGGGAGGGUCAUUCGAUACUGUCAGGCUAGAAGGCAGGAGAGGGAAGUGGAAUUCCCGGUGUAGUGGUGAAAUGCGUAGAUAUCGGGAGGAACACCGGUGGCGAAGGCGACUUUCUGGCCCGGUACUGACGCUGAGGUGCGAAAGCGUGGGGAGCAAACAGG
RNAcentral lists this ribosomal RNA (253 nucleotides) under uncultured bacterium. Its description in RNAcentral is "partial 16S ribosomal RNA". It matches the Rfam family "Bacterial small subunit ribosomal RNA", at positions 524 to 776 of the family's 1533-position model. The record is from RNAcentral.